This 250-nucleotide ribosomal RNA is filed under the name uncultured Actinomycetales bacterium. Its description in RNAcentral is "partial 16S ribosomal RNA". It matches the Rfam family "Bacterial small subunit ribosomal RNA", at positions 84 to 335 of the family's 1533-position model. Lineage: Bacteria; Bacillati; Actinomycetota; Actinomycetes; Actinomycetales. The record is from RNAcentral.
GGGGUGCUCGAGUGGCGAACGGGUGAGUAACACGUGAGUAACCUGCCCUUGACUUUGGGAUAACUUCAGGAAACUGGGGCUAAUACCGGAUAGGAGCUCCUGCUGCAUGGUGGGGGUUGGAAAGUUUCGGCGGUUGGGGAUGGACUCGCGGCUUAUCAGCUUGUUGGUGGGGUAGUGGCUUACCAAGGCUUUGACGGGUAGCCGGCCUGAGAGGGUGACCGGCCACAUUGGGACUGAGAUACGGCCCAAG